CCUACGGGAGGCAGCAGUGAGGAAUAUUGGUCAAUGGACGAGAGUCUGAACCAGCCAAGUAGCGUGAAGGAUGACUGUCCUAUGGGUUGUAAACUUCUUUUAUAUGGGAAUAAAACAGGGUAUGCAUACCCUCUUGUAUGUACCAUAUGAAUAAGGAUCGGCUAACUCCGUGCCAGCAGCCGCGGUAAUACGGAGGAUCCGAGCGUUAUCCGGAUUUAUUGGGUUUAAAGGGAGCGUAGGUGGAUUGUUAAGUCAGUUGUAAAAGUUUGCGGCUCAACCGUAAAAUUGCAGUUGAAACUGGCAGUCUUGAGUACAGUAGAGGUGGGCGGAAUUCGUGGUGUAGCGGUGAAAUGCUUAGAUAUCACGAAGAACUCCGAUUGCGAAGGCAGCUCACUGGACUGCAACUGACACUGAUGCUCGAAAGUGUGGGUAUCAAACAGGAUUAGAUACCCGGGUAGUC
RNAcentral lists this ribosomal RNA (460 nucleotides) under uncultured bacterium. RNAcentral's name for it is "partial 16S ribosomal RNA". It matches the Rfam family "Bacterial small subunit ribosomal RNA", at positions 338 to 795 of the family's 1533-position model. The record is from RNAcentral.